Molecule: ribosomal RNA, 482 nt
Filed under: uncultured bacterium
Lineage: Bacteria
Description: partial 16S ribosomal RNA
Rfam family: Bacterial small subunit ribosomal RNA
Source: RNAcentral
AUUGAACGCUGGCGGCAUGCCUUACACAUGCAAGUCGAACGGUAACGGGCCUUCGGGUGCCGACGAGUGGCGAACGGGUGAGUAAUACAUCGGAACGUGCCCGAUCGUGGGGGAUAACGAGGCGAAAGCUUUGCUAAUACCGCAUACGAUCUACGGAUGAAAGCAGGGGACCGCAAGGCCUUGCGCGGACGGAGCGGCCGAUGGCAGAUUAGGUAGUUGGUGGGAUAAAAGCUUACCAAGCCGACGAUCUGUAGCUGGUCUGAGAGGAUGAUCAGCCACACUGGGACUGAGACACGGCCCAGAAUCCUACGGGAGGCAGCAGUGGGGAAUUUUGGACAAUGGGCGCAAGACUGAUCCAGCAAUGCCGCGUGCAGGAUGAAGGCCUUCGGGUUGUAAACUGCUUUUGUACGGAACGAAAAGCCUUCUUUUAAUACAGGAGGGUCAUGACGGUACCGUAAGAAUAAGCACCGGCUAACUACGUG